Cyanistes caeruleus (blue tit) is the source of this 1141-nucleotide non-coding RNA. Lineage: Eukaryota; Metazoa; Chordata; Aves; Passeriformes; Paridae. The record is from RefSeq and is a predicted model, not a curated record.
AUACAAGGGAAUUUGGGGCUGGCUGAAACCAGCUCAAGACACCACUUUUCCUUUGCUACUUGAUUCCACAGGGGAGAACAGAAACCUCAAUUAGCAGACAGAAAAAGGAUUUUAUGGAUCAAAACCCUGACAAAAUUUUGGUAGAAGGGAAGAAAGAGGGAGCAUCCAAGAAGAUCCAUCAGGCUGCUCUCAGACUGAAGGACACAAAGAUUGGAGGAAAGGAAGGAUGUGAGCACAAUCACUCAGAGCCACCUUGAGCAGAAGAGAGAGCAAAGCAAAAUGUUCUGGAACAAGAAUCCUAGGACAUGCCUUGGGCAGGGAGCCAGAUGAGCACAAGCAGCUCGCAGAGGAGUGUCCUGCUGCUGUUAAAGAGGAACUGGAGAGGGAUUGCAACACGUCCUUCAACAAAAGCACAGCUGUGUCAGGUACAUUGACUGAAGCAUUGUGCAACAGUAAAAACAAAACUCAGAUUGAGGCACUGACUGAUCCUGAGUGCUACAGUCAUCAGAUUAGAAGAAAUAAAAGUAUGUUUGAAAAAUGCAUAAAAAGCAGGGAGAGAGGAUAAAAAUCAUGAACACCUUGUUCUCCCUGUUCAAAAGUGUAUGAGCCAAACAGCAUUUGCACCUAUUCUGGAGAUCCCAAUUGAAAGGAGUAUUAUUUAUUCAGACACCUACCAGCAAAGAUGUCUCCACAGAACUCUCAGAAGAGAGUGGAAGUGAUGCCCAAAGGAGGAAAUUACUGCAGAAUUUGUUUUUUGACACUGCUUAUCAGGUUCAUGGGUAUUCAUUCCAACAGUUCCCUUGUGCAAAACCUGAUCUAAAGAACAGACUGACCCUUGGAGGCAAAUCAUAAGUAACAUAAAGGCAAAAAAUGUAUUUUUUUGUAAUAAUUUGUACUGGAAGACAACAAUCAAACUAAAUCCCUGCUUCCUCUUAGAAAGAGGGAGAAAUAAUACUUAUUUCAAAACAAAAAAAAAAAAUGUUAGGAUUCAUUGCAGCAAUUGUUCUUCCAGAAAACGUAAUUAUUCCUCACUACCAGGCAUCCUUUGCUCAACCCAGUGGACUAUGGUUCCUGUACAGUUUUCUCUGAGUACCUGUGAAAUUUUCUGAUAGCCAGUUUUAUGGAAUGGGAUUGUACUGGU